Molecule: transfer RNA, 58 nt
Filed under: Stegodyphus mimosarum
Lineage: Eukaryota; Metazoa; Arthropoda; Arachnida; Araneae; Eresidae
Rfam family: tRNA
About the family: Transfer RNA (tRNA) molecules are approximately 80 nucleotides in length. Their secondary structure includes four short double-helical elements and three loops (D, anti-codon, and T loops).
Source: Rfam by way of RNAcentral
UGGUGUAAUGGUCAGCACACUGAGCCGGUAUUUCAGAGGUCCGUGGUUCGAUUCCCGG